RNA transcript from Benincasa hispida (wax gourd), 4394 nucleotides. RefSeq lists it as uncharacterized. NCBI's taxonomy places the organism in Eukaryota, Viridiplantae, Streptophyta, Magnoliopsida, Cucurbitales, Cucurbitaceae. The record is from RefSeq and is a predicted model, not a curated record.
UUUUAGGUUUUAGGGUUUCUGUGGUGCCGAAGCCGCUCCUUUACAAAGUCCCUCUCCCUUGUUCGCUGUCUCUCUUUCAGACUGAGUCCCAUCCCCUUCGUCCCUCUUUCAAAUCUUCGACAUCAACUUCGAUUUCCGUCUGCUGUGUUGUUUACCUCCCCGGCUUUCCCUCUUUCAAGUUUCGCUUUUGUCUGCCUUUCGUCUCUAUCCUCUUUCGAUUUUCUGGACCAGUACCAGUGGUCUUUCACUUCAGUCGUGCAGUUCGUUAGUUUCUUCAGUCGUUCCGUUCGCCUGCUUCAACCCGAAUUACUUUUGUUCGUUAGCUUCAACCGUUUCGUUCAUUUAUCUACUUCUUUUGAUCGGUAAGUUUGAUUCUUUCGUCUACUUCGCUAGUCUACUUCUUUCGUGAAUAAUCUUCGUUAUUCUACUUCAUUUAUCUACUUCUUUCAACCGAAAACUCAAUUCAAUCCGAAUUUUAAGGAUUAAAUCAGAGACCUAUUCGAUAAACAAUCUGACCCACCCACUGAAUUUUUGGGUUGUCCAAAAAAUAAUCCAACCCAUCCCUAAUAAAUAUUAGGAGAAAUUUGUACAGGUCCAAAAUGUUUAGAGACCUAUUUGAUAGACAAUCUGACCCACCCACUCAAUUUUUGGGUGUCCAAAAAAUAACCCAACCCAUCCCUAGUAAAUAUUAGGAGAAAUUUGUAUGGGUCCAAAAUGUCAAUGGACCAUUUUUUAAAAAAUAAUGUCUAAUUGACCUUGAUGUCAUCGCCUUACCAAAUUACUUAAUUUGCCCUUACUUCGUCUUCUUACCUUUUUAUUGAGAAAAUCUACCAAAACUAAACUAUUAUUCAUUCAAAAUUUCCAAGGCUAACGAAUUUAUUUCUCAUAAACAAAAAAAACUAUUUCCAGUUUGCAAACGAUUCUACUUCUGGCUUUCAAUCGAAUCUUAUCGGUAAGUCUUUCUUUCAAUAUGGUUUUUUUGUUUGUUUUUUUGGUUUUUUGUGGUUGAUGUGUUUUGUGGUUGAAGACGAGUAGAAAGAGUUUGUGAGCGAGAUAGGUGAGAGUGAAAUCGGUAGAGCGACGCCGGAGAAAGCGACACCGGAGAGAUAAGUGAACCUAUGGUUUUUUUGUUUGUUUUUCUGGUUUUUGAUGUGUUAUGUGGUUGAAGAAGAGUAAAAAGAGAGAAUGUGAGGGAGAUAAGGGAGAGUGACAUUGGAGAGAUGGGAGAGUGACAUUGGAGAGAGCGAGAUUGUGAGAGAGAGCGACAUCGGCGAGAGCCACUCUAGGGAGAGCGAUGCCAGUGAGAUCCACUCUAGCGAGAGCGAUGCCAGCGAGAUCCAUUCUAGCGAGAGCGAUGCUAGUGAGAUCAAUUCUAGCGAGAUUUAAAUAGAACGUUUUUUUACAUUUUUUUCUGAAGGAGUUUACUGAUUGAAUUUAUUAAUAAAUGUAGAAGUGAUUUAAGAUGACUACACAUUUUAGAAUAGCUGAAGGUGAUAGAUUUCCCGGUCAAGUAACCAGCUUGGCCCACAUUGCCAAUGCAAACAAGAUUGUCAAAGAGAAGCUCACGCCAACGCAGUUGGCCAUGUUUAAGAGAACAGUUUUUGGAAGAUUUGUUGACGUUGAUAUGGUGUUCAAUAGCCCAAUUGUCCAUCACAUGUUGCUCAGAGAAGUGAAGAGGACAAAAUCAGACUCAAUGACAUUCGCUGUCUGUGGGAAGCUUGUCACCUUUUCGAAGGAUGACUUUUUGGUGAUGACUGGUUUGUGGCAAUCCCCAUCACGAGUUGAUCGAAACCAACAGUCCUCAUAUGAACUUGCCAUCAAGUAUUUUGGCAAUCGAGUGACGAAAGACACUUUACACCUUCGUGAACUCGAAGAAAAAUACAAGGACUUAGAGUUUGAAAACGAUGAUGAUGCUGUGAAGAUCAGCCUAGUUUACUACACUGAGGUCGCAAUGAUGGGGAAAAACAAGCAGAAAAAUGCAGUCGACCUCAAACGUUUCAAGGACGUUCAGAGCUUGGAGUACUACAAUAGUCUUGAUUGGGGUACCAUUAUCUGGGAGAGGACAUUGGAUGCCUUAAAGACUGCCUUGAAUGACAAGAGCAGUCUUUACAAGAUGAGGGUCAAAUCAAAUAAAAACUACGUUGUGAAGUACUCCUUACGUGGAUUUCCACAAGCGUUUCAGGUAUGGACGUACGAGAUCCUAGCUUCAUCGAUAGUUGGGAACAUUGCGGAGCGAGGGAGCAAGGUGGCUUUGCCCCGCAUAUUACGAUGGUCAUGCUCCCACUCAGUGUCCUUCAAAGUACUCGAGAGGGACGAUAAUUCGAGUCUAACAAUAUAAAGGUUAAAGAGGGCACUGUGAUGUCAAAUGCUGAAGAGGAGUUUCGGGAUACCCGGUGGAACGAAGACCUAUAUUUGAGCUAGGUGCGAAUGAUGAUAGUUUUGAAAGUGGCUCAAGUCGACGAGUGAGGGGGGUAGUCCCGAGAGUGAAAGACACGACGAUGACCAUCGUGGAGAUGCCAAUAUAAGGUUGUCAAGGUGGAGGGAGGGGAUGAUCCUGAGCAUUCUAAGCACGAGGAUGCUGAAUAUGGAAGGGUGAAAGGAAGGGUGGAAGGAGGACAUACACACGUAGUGAUGAUAUGUUCAAUGAUAUGAUGGGAACGUACGCGAGGAGGACGAGUUGAACCAAGUUGAUGUCAUUCAUGCAGACUUCGGACAGAGCGUCCUGUGGAUGAGGAGUGUCCUGAGUGUCCUGCCCACCGCAGGGAGGGAGCCAAUGCAGACGAGUCUAGUUAUUCGUACCUGCGGUCCAUUGACAAUGCACUAUCGAGUUGGAUGGCCGAUAAUCGGGUUUAGAUAGUCGUGUCUCCAGUAUGGAGGAAAACAUGACUGAAAUGAAAGGGCAAUUGUCGACCAUCCUUUCAUUAUUGCAGUCUAUGCACAAGGGUUCCACGGUGAAUGAGGAACGACCAGGUCACCCAUCCCAUCUCGGGAGCCUGAUACGAACUGCACUUGCGUCUGACACUCCCAUCCCCAUCCCCCCUCUACAGCCCGAUACCACCCCUUCACCUACUCCCAACCCCCCUGUACAGCUCGAUACCACCAUUACCACGUCAUCACCGAUUGACGUCGAACCUAUACAGGUCAACGUCCCACAGACAGAGCCCGAUAUGUCUGCCUUAUUCACCAUGCCACCUACAGAGGCUGACAUGUCUAGCAUCUCGGAGGCAGCCACUUCUGGGAUUGUUACGACCACAGAAGGAGUUCCACUGGAUUCUCGAAGAAUUAGUCGUAAGAGAAAACCAGUUGACAAAUAUACACCCCCAGCCCAAGCAAAGAAGAAAAGUGUGGCUAAACAUCCUCUCCCAGGUGUAGCUACGUCAACAUUCAGAUCGAUCGUCACAUAUAAUGUAGCACACCCCAUUCCACACAAUAUCAUGACAGAAAUGAUGGGUUGGAUCUCGGACGACAAUACAAACAACGAGGUUCGAGAGAACUCCUUCAAACCACUCAACAAACAAUUCUUCAAGGAAUUGAUUACCCCGAAUUCGUUGUCGAGUGCGAUACCAUAAACACUUUAUUUUAUUUUAUGAAAGAUAAAUUUUAUACCCGGCCUGACAUGUACAUGCAUAAGUUCACCAUCUUGCCAAUUGGUGUAACAUUAAAUUUUGAUAUUUCGUUUCUUAACUUCUCAUUUCGUUAAGUUUCCUGGUCUUUACUUCUUUACUUAACUUCUCAUUUUAUUUAACAGAGUCACCUCAAUGCUCAUGGUGGGGUAUUUAAAAGAAUAAAGAAUAAGUCAUUCCUGGAGGCUGCCCUAGCUUGGGAAGAUGAAGACACGUACAAGGACUACGUCAUCGGUAAAUUUGAUGUCAAAUGGGCAUGUGGAUUUUGUUUACACGACGAUGAAUAUCAGUGAACACUGGAUGGUUCUUGCCAUAGACAUUAACAGAGGCCACAUAUUCGUAUUCGAUUCACUUCCAUCAUACACACUAAUGACAAAGUUGGUGAAUUAGCUAGAGCCAUUGACGGUCACAGUACCAUCCCUAUUCACUACUGUGACGUGGAUUGAUUGAAACCGGACCUGUCCACAGCCCAUUGGAAAAUCUCGCGACCUUAGAACGCCGAUAUACAACACGGGUCGCUUGAUUGUGGCAUCUUCGCAAUAAAACUUCUGGAACACCUGGUGACUGGUGCUGGUCCAUCCGUAAUCACUCAGGAGAAGAUGAGUGAAUAUAGGAUGCAAUUAGCAUGUCAGCUAUGGGCAAACACUUCAUAUUUUUUAUAUGUAACAUUGUAUUUUUUAUUCUUUGUAAAAACAUUCAUUUUUUUUUUUAUGUAUGUAAAAACAUUCAUUGUAUAAUUGAACAUACAUUUUUUAUGAAAGUUCAAAGUUC